GACGAACGCUGGCGGCGUGCUUAACACAUGCAAGUCGAACGGAAAGGCCCUGCUUUUGUGGGGUGCUCGAGUGGCGAACGGGUGAGUAACACGUGAGUAACCUGCCCUUGACUGUGGGAUAACUUCAGGAAACUGGGGCUAAUACCGGAUAGGAGCUCCUGCUGCAUGGUGGGGGUUGGAAAGUUUCGGCGGUUGGGGAUGGACUCGCGGCUUAUCAGCUUGUUGGUGGGGUAGUGGCUGACCAAGGCUUUGACGGGUAGCCGGCCUGAGAGGGUGACCGGCCACAUUGGGACUGAGAUGCGGCACAGACUCAUACGGGAGGCAGCAGUGGGGAAUAUAGCACAAUGGGCGGAAGCCUAAUGCAGCAACGCCGCGUCCGGGAUGACGGCCUUCGGGUUGUAAACCGCUUUCGCCUGUGACGAAGCGUGAGUGACGGUAAUGGGUAAAGAAGCACCGGCUAACUACGUG
Molecule: ribosomal RNA, 468 nt
Filed under: uncultured bacterium
Lineage: Bacteria
Description: partial 16S ribosomal RNA
Rfam family: Bacterial small subunit ribosomal RNA
Source: RNAcentral